AUUGAACGCUGGCGGCAGGCCUAACACAUGCAAGUCGAGCGGAUGAAGGGAGCUUGCUCCUGGAUUCAGCGUCGGACGGGUGAGUAAUGCCUAGGAAUCUGCCUGGUAGUGGGGGAUAACGUCCGGAAACGGGCGCUAAUACCGCAUACGUCCUGAGGGAGAAAGUGGGGGGUCUUCGGACCUCACGCUAUCAGAUGAGCCUAGGUCGGAUUAGCUAGUUGGUGGGGUAAAGGCCUACCAAGGCGACGAUCCGUAACUGGUCUGAGAGGAUGAUCAGUCACACUGGAACUGAGACACGGUCCAGACUCCUACGGGAGGCAGCAGUGGGGAAUAUUGGACAAUGGGCGAAAGCCUGAUCCAGCCAUGCCGCGUGUGUGAAGAAGGUCUUCGGAUUGUAAAGCACUUUAAGUUGGGAGGAAGGACAGUAAGUUAAUACCUUGCUGUUUUGACGUUACCAACAGAAUAAGCACCGGCUAACUUCGUG
Molecule: ribosomal RNA, 484 nt
Filed under: uncultured bacterium
Lineage: Bacteria
Description: partial 16S ribosomal RNA
Rfam family: Bacterial small subunit ribosomal RNA
Source: RNAcentral